CAGAGCGCAGCUCUAUACGACCGCAGAGGUCGAACCCUGAACAGUUGGGGCAAGUAUGGACACAACAUUCAAGCUGGAUACAGCUCUGAAUUUGGAUUGUGAUUAAAUAGUUGACACAGCAUAGGUUUCUGACACAGAAUGAAUGUUGUCUAAUGAACUUAAAUUUUUUUUUUGCUUUUGAGCAAUUGACUAUGCUGUUGAAUGUUAAU
RNAcentral lists this long non-coding RNA (209 nucleotides) under Mytilus galloprovincialis (Mediterranean mussel). The record is from RNAcentral. Lineage: Eukaryota; Metazoa; Mollusca; Bivalvia; Mytilida; Mytilidae.